RNAcentral lists this ribosomal RNA (537 nucleotides) under uncultured bacterium. RNAcentral's name for it is "bacterial SSU rRNA". It matches the Rfam family "Bacterial small subunit ribosomal RNA", at positions 777 to 1306 of the family's 1533-position model. The record is from RNAcentral.
AAUAGAUACCCAGGUAGUCCACGCCGUAAACGGUGGGCACUAGGUGUGGGCAACAUUCCACGUUGUCCGUGCCGCAGCUAACGCAUUAAGUGCCCCGCCUGGGGAGUACGGCCGCAAGGCUAAAACUCAAAGGAAUUGGACGGGGGCCCGCACAAGCGGCGGAGCAUGUGGCUUAAUUCGACGCAACGCGAAGAACCUUACCAAGGCUUGACAUACACCGGAAACGUCUGGAGACAGGCGCCCCCUUGUGGUCGGUGUACAGGUGGUGCAUGGCUGUCGUCAGCUCGUGUCGUGAGAUGUUGGGUUAAGUCCUGCAACGAGCGCAACCCUUGUCCCGUGUUGCCAGCAGGCCCUUGUGGUGCUGGGGACUCACGGGAGACCGCCGGGGUCAACUCGGAGGAAGGUGGGGACGACGUCAAGUCAUCAUGCCCCUUAUGUCUUGGGCUGCACACGUGCUACAAUGGCCGGUACAAUGAGCUGCGAUACCGUGAGGUGGAGCGAAUCUCAAAAAGCCGGUCUCAGUCCGGAUUGGGGUCG